RNAcentral lists this long non-coding RNA (1260 nucleotides) under Equus asinus (donkey). RNAcentral describes it as "lncRNA (ENSEASG00005038578.1)". Lineage: Eukaryota; Metazoa; Chordata; Mammalia; Perissodactyla; Equidae. The record is from RNAcentral.
GCCACCUGUGAGGGACGAAGCUGAGGCUUGGCUGUCUGGGAUCUAAACUGUGACCUGAUCAAGAUUAAGCAUCUUUCCUUAGGCUAGGAACUGACUGCUGCGCUCACCUGUGACCACCCAGCUCAAGACAAUAGACUUGCCUCCAGCUACGCCCUCUGAGAUAGCAGACCCACCACCUGCUGUGUCCAUCAAGUGCUGUGCCAACAGGGCAAUCUUGUGACUAUUGUGGGAGGGACAUUUCAAUCACAUGUGAAACACCCUGUUUGGGGGUAUAUAACCACUUCGGGAAGAAAGGCCCCGGGCCAUGGUUCCUCAUAAAGCUUUGUUUAAUUUUCUCUUGCUAUUCUGUCUCAUGUGGAUUUAAUUCAUUCUCCGGCCAGACAAACCCACAUUUGGGAAGAGGAAAUGUCUUCCUCCCCUCCACCUUCAUGAAAUUCUUAAUAAUUUUUGCACAAAGGCUUUGCAUUUUCAUUUUGCACUGGGCCUUGAAAGGUUUCUGGUAGAAACUCUUUUGAUUAAGCUAGUUCCAUUCUGUUCCUAGUUUGCUGCGAUUUUUUUUCUUACAGGAUGGGUGGGUAUUGAGAAGAUAAUAAAUAUUCUGUUUUAAUCUAUUAAUGUGGAAAGUUACAUUCAUUGAUUUUUCUAUGAUAAAUCAUCCCUGCAUUCAUAGCCUAAACUCAAUUGGGCAAUGAUGUAUUUUUGAAUAUACUUUAUUUUUUAGAAAAGUUGUAAAUUUACAGAAAAAUUGUAAAGAUAGUGCAGAGUUCCCAUAUACCCCACAUCCAGUUGCCCUUAUCAUUAACAUGUUAUUGUUGGUAUGGUACAUGUGCUGUAAUUAAGGAAUCAAUAGCCCAUAGUUUAUUCAGAUAUCCUUAGUUUUUAUCUAAUAUCUUUUUUCUGUUCAAGGAGCCUAUCCAGGAUACUACAUUAUCUUUAGUUGUCAUGUCUCCUUGGGUUCCUCUAAGUAGGUUGUGAGUUUCUUAGAUUUUCCUUGUUUUGAUGACCUUGACAGUUUGGAGGCAUAGUGAUCAGAUUGGUUUGUAGAAUGACCCUCUAUUGGGAUUUGUCUGAUGUUUCUCUCAUGAUUAGACAGGGGAAGAUCAGGGAAGACAGGGGAAGAUUUUGAGAGGAAGAUCACAUAGGUAUACUGCCGUUGUCAUCACCUCACUUCAAGGGUACGUACCAUCAACAUGAUUUAUCACUACUGAUAUGAUGGUCAUGAUCACCUCCAGAGAGGGGAGACAGGUUGGAAGUUGAGUC